CAUUCAGUAGCCUCGCUAGGCUUUGCUGCUAUCUAUACCCAUGUCUUUUUGCGUACCUUCGUUUCCUCGGCGGGCUUCGCCUGCCGAUUGGACAAACUAUAAACCAUUUUGAAGUCUGCAAUCAGCGUCUGAAUAUAAACUAAUAGUUA
RNAcentral lists this unclassified non-coding RNA (149 nucleotides) under soil metagenome. RNAcentral describes it as "partial internal transcribed spacer 1". The record is from RNAcentral.